This 319-nucleotide small nuclear RNA is filed under the name Chinchilla lanigera (long-tailed chinchilla). RNAcentral's name for it is "7SK RNA (ENSCLAG00000022088.1)". It matches the Rfam family "7SK RNA". Rfam says of the family: 7SK was discovered as an abundant small nuclear RNA in the mid-70s but a possible function has only recently been suggested. Two independent studies have found that 7SK RNA binds the CDK9/cyclin T complex (known as elongation factor P-TEFb). Lineage: Eukaryota; Metazoa; Chordata; Mammalia; Rodentia; Chinchillidae. The record is from Rfam by way of RNAcentral.
AGAUGUGAAGGCGAUCUGGUGUGACAUUUGUCACCCUAUUGGGUGCCAUGGUUGGUUGAGCUGAUCUGGCUGGCAAGGCAGAGUCCCCUUCCCCAGUGCUCCAUGUGCAUCCCUCCCGAAGCUGCAAGGGGACAGCCACCCCCGACGGAGAAGGACGGAGGAGGACCCCUCCUUGGUUGGGGUAUAGGAGUAGCUAUGCUCCCCUGCUGGACCUCCAGACAGGCUCUCAAAAUAGGAAAAGGGCUGGAGGGUAGCUCAGCUCAAAGGCCCUGGAUUCAAUUCCAAUUACGGCAAAGGAAAAGAACUAUUUGCUUUUUUU